UACGGAGGAUCCAAGCGUUAUCCGGAAUCAUUGGGUUUAAAGGGUCCGUAGGCGGCUCAGUAAGUCAGUGGUGAAAUCUCCCGGCUCAACCGGGAAAUGGCCAUUGAUACUGUUGGGCUUGAAUUAUUAGGAAGUAACUAGAAUAUGUAGUGUAGCGGUGAAAUGCUUAGAGAUUACAUGGAAUACCAAUUGCGAAGGCAGGUUACUACUAAUGGAUUGACGCUGAGGCUCGAAGGUGCGGGGAUCAAACAGG
This 253-nucleotide ribosomal RNA is filed under the name uncultured bacterium. RNAcentral describes it as "partial 16S ribosomal RNA". It matches the Rfam family "Bacterial small subunit ribosomal RNA", at positions 524 to 776 of the family's 1533-position model. The record is from RNAcentral.